This 1369-nucleotide long non-coding RNA is filed under the name Capra hircus (goat). RNAcentral describes it as "lncRNA (ENSCHIG00010008291.1)". Lineage: Eukaryota; Metazoa; Chordata; Mammalia; Artiodactyla; Bovidae. The record is from RNAcentral.
GGGACGUCAUGAGCCGAAGCCAAGGCAGAGUUUCCAGGACAUAGAAUCUUUGAUAUGGAGAGAACCAAAGAGAUGAUUCAGUUCAAGUCCCUCAUUUACAGAUGAGGAACAUAAGGCCCAGGGAACCGAAGGAACCUGUCCAAGGUCACAGACUUUCGGAGGCAUAUUUAAAAAUCCAGACUUGCAAAUCCACAGACUCUUGUCACUCCAUCCUUUGCCUUAGAGACUAAGAAAAACCCUGGGGGUGUCCCCUUACUCAUAAUUCUACUUUUGAAAAAUAAAUUCUCCAAGGAAAGCUUUGUUUUCUGGCCAAAAUAGUUGUGCUUGCUGAGUUGGGAGUGAUGGAACUCCUGAGACAGAGAUUGCCAAACUUUGCUGCCCCAACCACACCACAGACCCUGCAGCUUCCCUGCAGCUGGAUCUCCUCUACAUGGAAAAUAGCAACAGGGCAGCACCACCAACCACCACCAGCCUCUACCAGUCAUCACUGUACUUACCUCCACCAGUUGCAGAGCGGGCUGCCUUGCUCCUGGCCAUUUUCUUACCUCUGUAAAUGUUCUUAAGCCUCAAGAGCUGUGAGACCACUUCCUGUGGGUGUGUGAUGGUGACAGAGGGGGAAAUACAAAAGCUUGGCUGAAAGAUUUCAUUCUGGUGUUUCAUGCUAUUCUGGCCACAGAUGUCUGCAGGACUAUUAAAAUCUCUUUUCUAACCUGGAAAUGCCAAUUAAUUCUCUCAAGGCCAUGCUGCUUUUUGCAAGGGUCUCAGGUGUCCAGAGCGGGUAGACGUGCUCUGGAUAUUCAACUAUUAUAUUAGUAAUGCGUGGAGUAGCCGAGUGGUUCACACGUUACAAAAUGCUCUUGUAAGACUCUUUCCUAGACUCCUGUAGCCUCGAAAGGCUGGGCCAUCUUUCCCCAGCACUGUCCCAGCCCUGACACCUGCCCCAACUCAGCUACUGAGGUUGACAUUUCAACAGUUUAACUCAUCAGAUAGAUGCUUUCUCCUUCCCAUCAGCCUUGAUUCUCUUUUUCCUAGAUUUCCACUUCCUUCCCUUUUUUCUCUUCUUCCUCUCCCUCACCACCCCCAUCAUUUGUUGGCAUAUAGCAAACUCUGCUUUUCUAUCUGCAACAAAUAUUUUCUGAUUGCUAAGCCCUCUAAUUAGGUCCUGAUGAGAGAACAGUGAGUAGAUAGAACGGAUCCCUGCCCUCCGUAUGUCAUCAGUUUAGUGGUUCCUGUACUGCCAGACUGACCAUGUCACCGGGGCUGCAGCAUCCUGCCUCCCCUUUGUUCACAGAACUUAGGACAGGGAGGGAUUCCUUGACCACCACCUUCAUUUUAUUUUACACACAGACACACACACACACACACACAU